RNAcentral lists this ribosomal RNA (274 nucleotides) under uncultured bacterium. RNAcentral describes it as "partial 16S ribosomal RNA". It matches the Rfam family "Bacterial small subunit ribosomal RNA", at positions 523 to 796 of the family's 1533-position model. The record is from RNAcentral.
AUACGGAGGGUGCAAGCGUUACUCGGAAUCACUGGGCGUAAAGGACGCGUAGGCGGGUUGUCAAGUCAGAUGUGAAAUCCUACAGCUUAACUGUAGAACUGCAUUUGAAACUGGCAACCUAGAGUAUGGGAGGGGGAGAUGGAAUUAGUGGUGUAGGGGUAAAAUCCGUAGAUAUCACUAGGAAUACCGAAAGCGAAGGCGAUCUCCUGGAACAUAACUGACGCUAAGGCGUGAAAGCGUGGGGAGCAAACGGGAUUAGAAACCCCUGUAGUCC